Molecule: ribosomal RNA, 253 nt
Filed under: uncultured bacterium
Lineage: Bacteria
Description: partial 16S ribosomal RNA
Rfam family: Bacterial small subunit ribosomal RNA
Source: RNAcentral
UACGUAGGGUGCGAGCGUUAAUCGGAAUUACUGGGCGUAAAGGGUGCGCAGGCGGCCGAGCAAGUCGAGUGUGAAAGCCCCGAGCUUAACUUGGGAACUGCGCUCGAAACUACUUGGCUGGAGUGUGGCAGAGGAAGGUGGAAUUCCACGUGUAGCGGUGAAAUGCGUAGAGAUGUGGAGGAACACCGAUGGCGAAGGCAGCCUUCUGGGCCAACACUGACGCUCAUGCACGAAAGCGUGGGGAGCAAACAGG